ACGAACGCUGGCGGCGUGCUUAACACAUGCAAGUCGAACGGAAAGGCCCUGCUUUUGUGGGGUGCUCGAGUGGCGAACGGGUGAGUAACACGUGAGUAACCUGCCCUUGACUUUGGGAUAACUUCAGGAAACUGGGGCUAAUACCGGAUAGGAGCUCCUGCUGCAUGGUGGGGGUUGGAAAGUUUCGGCGGUUGGGGAUGGACUCGCGGCUUAUCAGCUUGUUGGUGGGGUAGUGGUUUACCAAGGCUUUGACGGGUAGCCGGCCUGAGAGGGUGACCGGCCACAUUGGGACUGAGAUACGGCCCAGACUCCUACGGGAGGCAGCAGUGGGGAAUAUUGCACAAUGGGCGGAAGCCUGAUGCAGCAACGCCGCGUGCGGGAUGACGGCCUUCGGGUUGUAAACCGCUUUCGCCUGUGACGAAGCGUGAGUGACGGUAAUGGGUAAAGAAGCACCGGCUAACUACGUG
This 467-nucleotide ribosomal RNA is filed under the name uncultured bacterium. RNAcentral's name for it is "partial 16S ribosomal RNA". It matches the Rfam family "Bacterial small subunit ribosomal RNA", at positions 29 to 507 of the family's 1533-position model. The record is from RNAcentral.